AUUGAACGCUGGCGGAAUGCUUUACACAUGCAAGUCGAACGGCAGCACGGGGGCAACCCUGGUGGCGAGUGGCGAACGGGUGAGUAAUAUAUCGGAACGUGCCCAGUCGUGGGGGAUAACGUAGCGAAAGUUACGCUAAUACCGCAUACGAUCUACGGAUGAAAGCGGGGGAUCGCAAGACCUCGCGCGAUUGGAGCGGCCGAUAUCAGAUUAGGUAGUUGGUGAGGUAAAGGCUCACCAAGCCAACGAUCUGUAGCUGGUCUGAGAGGACGACCAGCCACACUGGGACUGAGACACGGCCCAGACUCCUACGGGAGGCAGCAGUGGGGAAUUUUGGACAAUGGGCGCAAGCCUGAUCCAGCCAUUCCGCGUGCAGGACGAAGGCCUUCGGGUUGUAAACUGCUUUUGUACGGAACGAAAAAGCCUUGGCUAACACCUAGGGUCCAUGACGGUACCGUAAGAAUAAGCACCGGCUAACUACGUGCCAGCAGCCGCGGUAAUACGUAGGGUGCGAGCGUUAAUCGGAAUUACUGGGCGUAAAGCGUGCGCAGGCGGUUAUAUAAGACAGAUGUGAAAUCCCCGGGCUCAACCUGGGAACUGCAUUUGUGACUGUAUAGCUAGAGUGCGGCAGAGGGGGAUGGAAUUCCGCGUGUAGCAGUGAAAUGCGUAGAUAUGCGGAGGAACACCGAUGGCGAAGGCAAUCCCCUGGGCCUGCAC
This 717-nucleotide ribosomal RNA is filed under the name Pseudomonadota bacterium. RNAcentral describes it as "bacterial SSU rRNA". It matches the Rfam family "Bacterial small subunit ribosomal RNA", at positions 28 to 740 of the family's 1533-position model. Lineage: Bacteria; Pseudomonadati; Pseudomonadota. The record is from RNAcentral.